Molecule: microRNA precursor, 87 nt
Organism: Gorilla gorilla gorilla (western lowland gorilla)
Lineage: Eukaryota; Metazoa; Chordata; Mammalia; Primates; Hominidae
Source: Ensembl
UCUCAGGCUGUGACUCUCCAAAGGGAAGAAUUUUCUCUUGUCUAAAAAAAAAGAACGCACUUCCUUUUAGAGUGUUACCAUGUGAGA